This 424-nucleotide ribosomal RNA is filed under the name Verrucomicrobiota bacterium. Its description in RNAcentral is "Verrucomicrobia bacterium partial 16S ribosomal RNA". It matches the Rfam family "Bacterial small subunit ribosomal RNA", at positions 355 to 776 of the family's 1533-position model. Lineage: Bacteria; Pseudomonadati; Verrucomicrobiota. The record is from RNAcentral.
UGAGGAAUAUUGGUCAAUGGACGCAAGUCUGAACCAGCCAAGUAGCGUGCAGGAUGACGGCCCUAUGGGUUGUAAACUGCUUUUAUAUGGGGAUAAAGUGGGGAACGUGUUCCCUUUUGCAGGUACCAUAUGAAUAAGGAACGGCUAAUUCCGUGCCAGCAGCCGCGGUAAUACGGAGGAUACGAGCGUUAUCCGGAUUAAUUGGGUUUAAAGGGUGCGUAGGUGGCUGAUUAAGUCAGUGGUGAAAAGCUAUGGCUCAACCAUAGUCUUGCCGUUGAUACUGGUUAGCUUGAGUGUAGAUGAUGUAGGCGGAACGUGUAGUGUAGCGGUGAAAUGCAUAGAUAUUACGCAGAACUCCGAUUGCGAAGGCAGCUUACAAAACUACUACUGACACUGAGGCACGCAAGCGUGGGUAUCAAACAGG